This 77-nucleotide transfer RNA is filed under the name Bdellovibrionales bacterium CG11_big_fil_rev_8_21_14_0_20_38_13. RNAcentral describes it as "tRNA-Arg". It matches the Rfam family "tRNA". Rfam says of the family: Transfer RNA (tRNA) molecules are approximately 80 nucleotides in length. Lineage: Bacteria; Pseudomonadati; Bdellovibrionota; Bdellovibrionia; Bdellovibrionales. The record is from RNAcentral. RNAcentral also lists the same sequence under 3 other names.
GCAGACGUAGCUCAGCUGGAUAGAGCAUCCGCCUUCUAAGCGGACGGUCACAGGUUCGAAUCCUGUCGUCUGCGCCA